UUGGUUUGGUGGAGUGAAUAUUGUCGGUUACACCGUGAUUAUAUACCUACUACUUGGGAUGAUUUGAAACUUGCCAUGCGACAUACUUUCGUCCCUGCUUAUUAUACUUGUGACAUGAUUAAGAAGUUGCAACACUUAAAACAAGGUAGUGAAACUGUAACAAAAUAUUAUGAUGAUUUACAAACUACCUUGUUGCAUUCCUCUUUAGAAGAAAGUGAAGAUGAUUUUAUGGAUAGAUUUUGGGGAGGAUUAAACCGUGAUAUUCAAGAGAUACUAAUUCAUGAAGAGUGUUAUCCUAUGGACCAUUUGUUUCAUCUUGCUUGCAAAGCUGAACAGGAAAUAAAAUGA
RNAcentral lists this ribosomal RNA (348 nucleotides) under Triticum aestivum (bread wheat). Its description in RNAcentral is "partial small subunit ribosomal RNA". The record is from RNAcentral. Lineage: Eukaryota; Viridiplantae; Streptophyta; Magnoliopsida; Poales; Poaceae.